This 460-nucleotide ribosomal RNA is filed under the name uncultured bacterium. RNAcentral describes it as "partial 16S ribosomal RNA". It matches the Rfam family "Bacterial small subunit ribosomal RNA", at positions 338 to 795 of the family's 1533-position model. The record is from RNAcentral.
CCUACGGGUGGCAGCAGUGAGGAAUAUUGGUCAAUGGACGAGAGUCUGAACCAGCCAAGUAGCGUGAAGGAUGACUGCCCUAUGGGUUGUAAACUUCUUUUAUAAAGGAAUAAAACGCGGCACGUGUACCUUUUUGCAUGUACUUUAUGAAUACGGAUCGGCUAACUCCGUGCCAGCAGCCGCGGUAAUACGGAGGGUCCGAGCGUUAUCCGGAUUUAUUGGGUUUAAAGGGAGCGUAGAUGGGUUGUUAAGUUCGUUGUGAAAGUUUGCGGCUCAACCGUAAAAUUGCAAUGGAUACUGGCAGUCUUGAGUACAGGUGAGGUAAGCGGAAUUCGUGGUGUAGCGGUGAAAUGCUUAGAUAUCACGAAGAACCCCGAUUGCGAAGGCAGCUUACUAAACUGUGACUGACAUUGAUGCUCGAAAGUGUGGGGAUCAAACAGGAUUAGAUACCCUGGUAGUC